Molecule: non-coding RNA, 192 nt
Filed under: Paracoccaceae bacterium
Lineage: Bacteria; Pseudomonadati; Pseudomonadota; Alphaproteobacteria; Rhodobacterales; Paracoccaceae
Source: RNAcentral
UACACCGAUACCUGCUUCGGUCCGGCCCUUCGGGUCCGGUGAAUAGGGAACGCGGUGCGAAUCCGCGACUGCCCCCGCAACUGUGAGCGGUGAGCGAAGCCGGCAUAUGCCACUCGUGCCACAAGGCGCGGGGAAGGCCCGGCCCAGCAUCGACCCGCGAGUCAGGAGACCUGCCGAGGUGAUCACCCUGUC